GACGAACGCUGGCGGCGUGCUUAACACAUGCAAGUCGAACGGAAAGGCCCUGCUUUCGUGGGGUGCUCGAGGGGCGAACGGGUGAGUAACAUGUGAGUAACCUGCCCUUGACUUUGGGAUAACUUCAGGAAACUGGGGCUAAUACCGGAUAGGAGCUCCUGCUGCAUGGUGGGGGUUGGAAAGUUUCGGCGGUUGGGGAUCGACUCGCGGCUUAUCAGCUUGUUGGUGGGGUAGUGGCUUACCAAGGCUUUGACGGGUAGCCGGCCUGAGAGGGUGGCCGGCGACAUUGGGACUGAGAUACGGACCAGAGUCCUACGGGGGGCAGCAGGGGGGAAUAUUGGACAAUGGGCGGAAGCCUGAUGCAGAAACGCCGCGUGCGGGAUGACGGCCUUCGGGUUGUAAACCGCAUUAGCCUGUGACGAAGCGUGAGUGACGGUAAUGGGUAAAGAAGCACCGGCUAACUACGUG
RNAcentral lists this ribosomal RNA (468 nucleotides) under uncultured bacterium. RNAcentral's name for it is "partial 16S ribosomal RNA". It matches the Rfam family "Bacterial small subunit ribosomal RNA", at positions 28 to 507 of the family's 1533-position model. The record is from RNAcentral.